AUUCGGAGUAAAGUCUCAAGGAGUCUCAUUCCUGAUUUGAAGUGACCCGCAUGGGUUCACAGUUCUCUCUCAGAACACGUACUCCUUUGAUUUUCUUGAAAGCCUUUGGAAAGCCUUGGGAAACCUGUAGGUUCCACUGGCAAUCAGUAUGGACUCUGUUGGAAUGUAAUGUGUCAAUUUGGUUUCAUGCCUCAUCACACUGGCAGACAGAAGAGGGUAAUGGCUGCUUUGGGGAGUGGAGGAAGCCAAAAAGAAGGCAAAGAGUGAAGACAGAGAAACAAGAUGUCAGUGGUGGUGCUGAGAAGGAAUAGAGAGACUUUUCUUCUUGUUAAGGGCCGCAGAGGGAGGAAUCCAGCUGAGGACUACACAGGGGCAUCUGGCUUCAGGAAUAACAGAUCAAAUGGUGACGAACUCCUUCAAAAUGGGCAGCCAGAUGAAGACAGCUGAGAAGAGGAGGCCCAGUUGCAGGAAUGGGCCAAGUACUUGUGGAGGGCAGUGAAAUCAAUGGUUUGCUUCAGGCAGAAAAAAGAACAUGAAAUGGGCAACUGGGCAUUGUUUAAGCUGUUGGUUCACAUCAAGGAGCAACAAUACUAAAGAACUGGUAGAGAGAAGGCUCUAGAAACAGGAACUAUUGGCAGGCUAGACCAAGUGCACCAAAAGUAUUUCAAAACUUUUGAGAUUAAGUGCUAGUUCAUGUCUGAGUAACACAAAACCAACAGACUGUGGCUUGGGAACCACAGCAUCAUUCUUAUGAAGGAAUUCUGGGAAAAGCUCAAGAGCUUCUCUCUCUGAGACUGUCUGCAGGCAUGCAAAUAGUGAUAAAUAUGUUUGGUCUUCUACACAUUUGCUAAAAUCUAAGCUCUGGAUGCCAGGAAACCUAGGAGAGCUGGGUUUGUUUUUUCAAAAAUAAUCACCAUUACAUUUUUGAUCACUGAAGAUGCAGACUUAUUGGAAAAAGAAUGUUUGAUUACCGAAAUGUACAGAAAGUGAGAGUUUCCCAUAAUCAACCACCCCCAUAACCACUGUUAACCAAUGUAUCUAUGCAAUUAAUUGUGUUUUUACAAAAAUGAGAUAAUAUUGUAUAUGUUGUGUGAUUUCAAUUAAAAGUGUCUUUUAUCUCAAUACUUAGAGACAAUUUUCAGUCUUAAUCUUCUUCCUUAACAAACCAACGAAAACAAGAUGUGUAUUUCCUAGUGUACUGAUU
Molecule: long non-coding RNA, 1204 nt
Filed under: Equus asinus (donkey)
Lineage: Eukaryota; Metazoa; Chordata; Mammalia; Perissodactyla; Equidae
Description: lncRNA (ENSEASG00005031585.1)
Source: RNAcentral